GAAACCAACAGGGAUUGCCUCAGUUACGGCGAGUGAAGCGGCAAAAGCUCAAAUUUGAAACCCUCGGGAUUGUAAUUUGAAGAUUUGGCAUUGGAGAAAGGUAAACCAACUUGCUUGGAAUAGUACGUCAUAGAGGGUGACAACCCCGUCUGGCUAACCGUUCUCCAUGUAUUGCCUUAUCAAAGAGUCGAGUUGUUUGGGAAUGCAGCUCAAAGUGGGUGGUAAACUCCAUCUAAAGUUAAAUACUGGUGAGAGGCCGAUAGCGAACAAGUACUGUGAAGGAAAGGUGAAAAGAACUUUGAAAAGAGAGUGAAAUAGUAUGUGAAAUUGUUGAUAGGGAAGGAAAUGAGUGGAGAGUGGCCGAGGUUUCAGCCCCCCCUCGUGGGCGGUGUGCUGCCGACCCGAGUCAUCGAUAGCGAGACGAGGGUUACAAAUGGG
RNAcentral lists this ribosomal RNA (438 nucleotides) under Yarrowia sp. RNAcentral describes it as "LSU rRNA". It matches the Rfam family "Eukaryotic large subunit ribosomal RNA", at positions 61 to 518 of the family's 3401-position model. The record is from RNAcentral. Lineage: Eukaryota; Fungi; Ascomycota; Dipodascomycetes; Dipodascales.